This 1090-nucleotide long non-coding RNA is filed under the name Sinocyclocheilus anshuiensis. RNAcentral's name for it is "lncRNA (ENSSANG00000003784.1)". Lineage: Eukaryota; Metazoa; Chordata; Actinopteri; Cypriniformes; Cyprinidae. The record is from RNAcentral.
AUGGCAUCUUACACAGUGGUCAUUGUCCCUCUCAGGAGCAGUCCUAACAGUCUGGAUGCAUUGCAGUUCUUCCUCUGGGUGAAGAAGAUGAAGGACUUGGAGAGGGAAAAGGACUUUUUGUGGAUUGGAUUGCAGGCUUUAGAGCAGGUGCGAGAGAAGUUAUGCUCCAACCUAGAAGACAACAUGGAAGUGCAAGACCAAUUCAAGAAAGGAGAUAUGAGAAAAGUGUUUCCAGACCCCCCCACCCUACUGUUGGCUCAGAUUCACAGAGUGAACAGGACCUUGAGGAAUCUACUGUGUGACUCCAGGAAUCCCACUGAUCCUGCAAUAGAAGGUACUGAAGGACACCAGCCCUCUCCUACCUGUUCAGAAGAAAGUGCUUGUUUUUGAUCAGCUGUUUGUUUUGAAGUUCUGUACUGCAUUUUCCUGUAUUUUGUGCUUGCAGAAUGUAUUCGGAGUGGAUUGAAGUCAUUUUCUGUGCGAAAAAUUGCCUACUUGAUUAGAUUUCCAUAACAUAUGGCAUACAACUCGCACACUGCUUUGAAUGUUUUAUUCAAGAAUUCAAUGCACUCGACUCAACCUUCCAUUUCCAUUGACCUUCCAGGAAUGAAUGUACUGAAGGUAUAUUAACUGCCGUCUGCCAUUUAGUUUCUGAUACUAUUGGAUUAAAAAUGCAAAACACUUAUUUUUGCAAUGAUAACUUGAUACAUGCAAUGAAAUGAGAUCAUGUGACAACACUAGCAUUUUUUCUUUUUAUACUUCACAUACACUGGCUGCCAAAAGUUUGCAGUAAUAUUUUAGGUUAAUUUUAAAAGGCUUAAAAUAAAGGAAUUAAUAACGUUCACAAGGGUGUACUGAAUUCAUCAAAAGUGACCGCAAAGACCAAUAAUUCCAAUAAAUGCUGUUCUUAAGAAAUUUGUUCAUUUAAAUAAUCCUGAAAAAAUAUAUCACGGUUUCCACAAAAUAUUAAGCAGUAAAAACUGUUUCCAACAUUGACAAUGAUAAGAAACAUUAUUAAUAUUCGAGCACCACCAGUAAUAAUAAAGUACCAAAUCAGCAUAUAAGAAUGAAUUCUGAACGAUCAUGUGAC